UUCUGCUAUCACUCUUGGAUGGACCUGCGGUGCAUUAGCUAGUUGGGUAGGGGUAACGGGCCUACCAAGCGAUGAUGCAUAGCCCGAGUUGAGAGACUGGAUCGGGCCACAUUGGGACUGAGACCACGGCCCAAACUCCUACGGGAGGCAGCAGUAGGGGAAUCUUCCACAAUGGACGCAAAGUCUGAUGGAAACAAAACGCCGCGUGAGUGAAGAAGGGUUUCGGCUCGUAAAAGCUCUGUUGUUGGUGAAGAAGGACAGGGGUAGUAACUGACCCUUUGUUUGACGGUAAUCAAUUUAGAAAGUCACGGGCUAACUACGUGCCCAGCAGCCGCGGUAAAU
This 342-nucleotide ribosomal RNA is filed under the name uncultured Bacillota bacterium. RNAcentral describes it as "bacterial SSU rRNA". It matches the Rfam family "Bacterial small subunit ribosomal RNA", at positions 207 to 525 of the family's 1533-position model. The record is from RNAcentral. Lineage: Bacteria; Bacillati; Bacillota.